RNAcentral lists this ribosomal RNA (484 nucleotides) under uncultured bacterium. RNAcentral's name for it is "partial 16S ribosomal RNA". It matches the Rfam family "Bacterial small subunit ribosomal RNA", at positions 38 to 507 of the family's 1533-position model. The record is from RNAcentral.
GGGUGGGGGGGGGGGGGGGGGGGGGCGGGGGGGGGGGGGGCGGGGAAGGGGGCGUGCGGCGGGGUUCAGCGGCGGGCGGGUGAGUAAGUGCCAGGAAUCUUCCUCGGAGUGGUGGGUAACGACCCGGAACGGGCGCCAAAGCAGCCUACGUCCCGAGGGGAGGAAGGUGUGAUAUUCGGACCCCACCCUAUCGUAUACCCCCAGGUCGGAUUAGCUAAUUGGUGGGGGAAAGGCCUCCCAAGGCGACGAUCCGUAACUGGUCUGAGAGGAUGAUCAGUCACACUGGAACUGAGACACGGUCCAGACUCCUACGGGAGGCAGCAGUGGGGAAUAUUGGACAAUGGGCGAAAGCCUGAUCCAGCCAUGCCGCGUGUGUGAAGAAGGUCUUCGGAUUGUAAAGCACUUUAAGUUGGGAGGAAGGGCAGUAAGUUAAUACCUUGCUGUUUUGACGUUACCAACAGAAUAAGCACCGGCUAACUUCGUG